This 910-nucleotide long non-coding RNA is filed under the name Ananas comosus (pineapple). RNAcentral describes it as "long non-coding RNA (ACOM_LNC024839)". The record is from RNAcentral. Lineage: Eukaryota; Viridiplantae; Streptophyta; Magnoliopsida; Poales; Bromeliaceae.
UUCUCAAACUUAAAUUUAGAUAAAAUUAUACAAAAUUUAUCAAAACUAUAUACCUUUUUAAAUCUACCAUCUAAUCUUUUAAGCUUUUAAUUUUACUAUCAAAUAUUUUAGUUUGUUUAAUUUCAAUCAAUCAACAAUGCUUUGACUUUCAAAUUUAAGCUCUAAUUACUGACUUAAUGAAUUUAUAUUUACAAAAAAUUAUAUAUAGUAUAUUAGAAUGUAUUCAAAUUUUAAAAUUAAAGUGUCAUUGACUGGCUCAAAAUAAAUAAAUUAAAAAAAAUUAGUUAGUAAAAUCAAAAUUAUAAAAUUUUGAAUAGCUAAAUAAAAGUGAUUGAUAGUUUAGACAAAUUCUAAAUGAUUAUCUCUUAAAUUUAUUAUAAUUUUUGUCUUAAAUUUUGUAUAUUAUAAUAUUGAAUCCUCUGGUAUAAUUUAUGUGACUAAAUGAUAAUGUGUUACUAAUAUUAUAAUGAUAACAAUAUUACAGUCGAAAGCAAGUGGCAAAUGGCUCGAUGGUUGAUACUCGAAGUCUCAAGUUCGAACCCUAAUUGAUUCACAUUUCCAACUAAGUUUAUUUUUAAAUAAAAUAAACGAAACGGAUAGUGUGCUAUCUAUUUCUAAUUAUAAAUUAUACUAACAGAUCACCGUUUAGAACAUGAUAAUAUGAGUCUCAUAAUUUAAUGACUGAAAGUACAAUUUUAGUUAGGAAUGUAAAAUAGGCCGAAAGAUUCGUAGUUCAUAUUUUAUUUAGGAAUGUAAAAUAGGCCGAAAGAUUCGUAGUUUAUACGAUAUGACCUACGUUACUACGUAUCAUUAUAAGCUGAGUUAUGCCAUAUUAUCGGCUCGCGGUACAGCACGACACAGUCCGUUUGGAUUGUGCUAAUUAGAUCGGUAUAAUAUAUUUUUUUCCUUU